AGGCCCCUAAGCCUACAGAGCUUCCUAAAAUACCAACUAAGCUCCCUCCGGUUCCUCCAGCACCAACACAACCUCCUAAAAUUGUCAGUUCAAAACCAGGACAAAGAAAGGAUUUUGAUUGCAGCUGGUAUGGAGGACAGGUGACCAGAC
Long non-coding RNA from Scomber scombrus (Atlantic mackerel), 150 nucleotides. RefSeq lists it as uncharacterized. The record is from RefSeq and is a predicted model, not a curated record. Lineage: Eukaryota; Metazoa; Chordata; Actinopteri; Scombriformes; Scombridae. The transcript is spliced from 3 exons.